This 73-nucleotide transfer RNA is filed under the name Candidatus Heimdallarchaeota archaeon. Its description in RNAcentral is "tRNA-Gln". It matches the Rfam family "tRNA". From Rfam's summary of the family: Transfer RNA (tRNA) molecules are approximately 80 nucleotides in length. Their secondary structure includes four short double-helical elements and three loops (D, anti-codon, and T loops). Lineage: Archaea; Promethearchaeati; Candidatus Heimdallarchaeota. The record is from RNAcentral.
AGCCUCGUGGUGUAGUGGCCAAUCAUAGCGGGUUUUGGUCCCGCCGACCUGGGUUCAAAUCCUGGCGAGGCUA